This is a long non-coding RNA of Cynoglossus semilaevis (tongue sole), 1342 nucleotides long. RefSeq lists it as uncharacterized. The transcript has 3 exons. Lineage: Eukaryota; Metazoa; Chordata; Actinopteri; Pleuronectiformes; Cynoglossidae. The record is from RefSeq and is a predicted model, not a curated record.
CGGAGACACCUUUUGUUGAAAGACCCUGCACUACCAAGACACGUGUUCAUACGUGCUGAAUCUUCAGUAAACUUUCUGUCUCGGUUUGUUGCAUUUGGGUCCAAAGCCUGACGUCCCUGACAGAAGGUAAGAAAAGAGACACACCUUUCUGAGAGCUUGGUUCGUCCUGAGUCCCCACCCUCGACCGUCUGUCUUCACCACUUCUGUCUCUGCGUACUGCCUCUUAGAGAAACACUGGUUUUCACAGCUCAUCCCUGCUGGACACACCUGGGAAGACGCGGCCCUGGUUGAUCCAGUAGUAAUCAUGGGAACCAAAGAAGAAGACGGGGAAGUCACCGAUGUCAUGACGAAGGCUCUGGAUGUUGGACGGAACCAAACGAGGGUUGCAGAUUUCAGCUGGCCACCACCUGCAGCGGAACAAGAUGUGAAAUGUUAAAACAAUGGAAAUAAUCAUAAUAACCAAAAAUAAGGACAUGGACAUUUAAUUGAGAAAUUUUAAAUUAUGGAUAUUAUCAAAAUUUGAUUAUUAUGCUGCUGACUUUACUUUGGCAUUAACUAUAAAAGAAAAUUAACACAUGAAUAAAAGAGCAUUUUUUUAUGCUUAUUUGCAAAGUGCUACUUUAACUUUUAAUAUUUUUUUUAAUCAUGUGACACACGGGAAGUAAAACAAGUAUUUCCACGGUAAAGGUAAGCAUUUAUAACAUGGUCUGCAAUUGUUUCUGGAUAAUUCUGCUUGAAUUAAAACCCAUGUAAAGUUUGAAGGAUUUAACAGAAUUUAAAAGAUACACAAAAAGCCACAUCUCUGCUGCUGUGUAUGCUGUAAAUGAGUGGUUGGUUUUUAGCUGUGAGGCAGGAAGACGACACCCAGCUUCAGUGUCAAACACUGUUUAUCACUGAGUGACUACCAAACAGUGAACCUUCAGAAUGAAGGGAAAGAUGCCUGAGGAGAAAACUGAGGGCUGAUACAGCGCAGUAGAUGUGUCUUGGCACAGUUUGAUUAAAGUUAAAUAAAAUAUUCCUCCAGUGACUGUUUUGUUAAAACAUUUUACCUGCUGUAAAAUCUCAAAGAAAGACUCAAGUACUCAAAAAUGGGUGGUAUGCUAUUUUUAUGCGAACUGAUAUGCUAACUUUCUUAACUGAUACAUUUCCCUUAAUUGAUACAUUUUUAUACAAAAUAAAAUAAAACAAAUGUAUUUCUAUUUUCCAUUAAAGUGUGAGAAAUAAGUUGUUUAACAUAUGAAAAGCAUCAUAAAAAAUGACUGUGUUCAAAUAACGGUAAUUUGAAGCUGAAAAUAAAAACGUUUUGUAAUUUUGCCCUUUUUUAUUAUCUGUUUAUAAAUCC